GACGGAGUCGGUGGCGGAGGUGAGGGUGUGGGUGGUGGCGGAGUGGGUACGGCUGGGGUGGUACAUGGGUUGUCACAGGCGGCGCACAUUGUGCAUUCGAUCUGAUACUUUGAUCGUACCCAUGAAUUUGAACUCACAUUCCUUGAGAAAAAAAAAGUUGUAUAAUCAAGUAAGGGAGAAAAGAAAGUUUUAAUUUUUGGGUCAUCUUUCCAGAGGAUUUUAGAGAGAGAAAUAUUGAAGAGAGGAGUGAGAAUUAGGAGGAGGAGGAGGAGGAGGAGGAGGAG
This 284-nucleotide long non-coding RNA is filed under the name Panax ginseng (ginseng). RNAcentral describes it as "long non-coding RNA (PGIN_LNC006109)". The record is from RNAcentral. Lineage: Eukaryota; Viridiplantae; Streptophyta; Magnoliopsida; Apiales; Araliaceae.